ACGAACGCUGGCGGCGUGCUUAACACAUGCAAGUCGAACGGAAAGGCCCUGCUUUUGUGGGGUGCUCGAGUGGCGAACGGGUGAGUAACACGUGAGUAACCUGCCCUUGACUUUGGGAUAACUUCAGGAAACUGGGGCUAAUACCGGAUAGGAGCUCCUGCUGCAUGGUGGGGGUUGGAAAGUUUCGGCGGUUGGGGAUGGACUCGCGGCUUAUCAGCUUGUUGGUGGGGUAGUGGCUUACCAAGGCUUUGACGGGUAGCCGGCCUGAGAGGGUGACCGGCCACAUUGGGACUGAGAUACGGCCCAGACUCCUACGGGAGGCAGCAGUGGGGAAUAUUGCACAAUGGGCGGAAGCCUGAUGCAGCAACGCCGCGUGCGGGAUGACGGCCUUCGGGUUGUAAACCGCUUUCGCCUGUGACGAAGCGGGAGUGACGGUAAUGGGUAAAGAAGCACCGGCUAACUACGUG
RNAcentral lists this ribosomal RNA (467 nucleotides) under uncultured bacterium. Its description in RNAcentral is "partial 16S ribosomal RNA". It matches the Rfam family "Bacterial small subunit ribosomal RNA", at positions 29 to 507 of the family's 1533-position model. The record is from RNAcentral.